UACGUAGGUGGCAAGCGUUGUCCGGAAUUAUUGGGCGUAAAGCGCGCGCAGGCGGCUUCUUAAGUCUGAUGUGAAAUCUCGGGGCUCAACCCCGAGCGGCCAUUGGAAACUGGGAAGCUUGAGUGCAGAAGAGGAGAGUGGAAUUCCACGUGUAGCGGUGAAAUGCGUAGAUAUGUGGAGGAACACCAGUGGCGAAGGCGACUCUCUGGUCUGUAACUGACGCUGAGGCGCGAAAGCGUGGGGAGCAAAC
RNAcentral lists this ribosomal RNA (250 nucleotides) under uncultured prokaryote. RNAcentral describes it as "partial 16S ribosomal RNA". It matches the Rfam family "Bacterial small subunit ribosomal RNA", at positions 524 to 773 of the family's 1533-position model. The record is from RNAcentral.